GGGCGCUUCGCAUAGCGGCAAUUGCAUCUGGCUGUAGACCAGACGUCUUUAUGACUACGGGGGUUCGAGUCCCUCAGCGCCCA
RNAcentral lists this transfer RNA (83 nucleotides) under Patescibacteria group bacterium. RNAcentral describes it as "tRNA-Tyr". It matches the Rfam family "tRNA". Rfam says of the family: Transfer RNA (tRNA) molecules are approximately 80 nucleotides in length. Their secondary structure includes four short double-helical elements and three loops (D, anti-codon, and T loops). The record is from RNAcentral.